RNAcentral lists this non-coding RNA (21 nucleotides) under Caenorhabditis elegans. The record is from RNAcentral. Lineage: Eukaryota; Metazoa; Nematoda; Chromadorea; Rhabditida; Rhabditidae.
UAGCUUGCAUUCUUCGGCAAC